UUCCGGUUGAUCCUGCCGGACCCUACUGCUAUCGGGGUGGGACUAAGACAUGCGAGUUGAGCGUCUCUAAGCUAUGGUAGAGACGCGGCGUACGGCUCAGUAACACGUGGCUAACCUACCCUUAGGACGGGGACAACCCCGGGAAACUGGGGCUAAUACCCGAUAGGCGAGGAGGCCUGGAAUGGUUCUUAGUCGAAAAGGCGUUGAAACCAUGCUUUUCGACGUCGCCUAAGGAUGGGGCCGCGCCCGAUCAGGUUGUUGGUGGGGUAACGGCUCACCAAGCCUAUAACCGGUACGGGCCGUGAGAGCGGGAGCCCGGAGAUGGGCACUGAGACAAGGGCCCAGGCCCUACGGGGCGCAGCAGUCGCGAAAACUCUGCAAUGCGCGAAAGCGUGACGGGGCUACCCCGAGUGCCGUCCGCUGAGGAUGGCUUUUCUCCGGUGUAAUGAGCCGGGGGAAUAAGGAGAGGGCAAGUCUGGUGUCAGCCGCCGCGGUAAUACCAGCUCUCCGAGUGGUAGGGAUGAUUAUUGGGCUUAAAGCGUCCGUAGCCGGCUUAGCAAGUCUCCUGUUAAAUUCAGCGACCUAAUCGUUGAGCCGCGGGAGAUACUACUAGGCUAGGAGGCGGGAGAGGCCGACGGUAUUCUCGGGGUAGGGGUGAAAUCCUAUAAUCCCGGGAGGACCACCAGUGGCGAAGGCUGUCGGCUAGAACGCGCUCGACGGUGAGGGACGAAAGCUGGGGGAGCGAACCGGAUUAGAUACCCGGGUAGUCCCAGCUGUAAACGAUGCGGGCUAGGUGUUGGGGUGGCUACGAGCCACUUCAGUGCCGCAGGGAAGCCAUUAAGCCCGCCGCCUGGGGAGUACGGCCGCAAGGCUGAAACUUAAAGGAAUUGGCGGGGGAGCACCACAAGGCGUGAAGCUUGCGGUUCAAUUGGAUUCAACGCCGGG
RNAcentral lists this ribosomal RNA (945 nucleotides) under uncultured archaeon. RNAcentral describes it as "bacterial SSU rRNA". It matches the Rfam family "Archaeal small subunit ribosomal RNA", at positions 1 to 922 of the family's 1478-position model. The record is from RNAcentral.